CCCUAUGGGGUGCCGUGCGCUCUUUCUCCCCAUGGCUGUCAAUACACGGAAGGUCUGGACGGACGAAGGCAUCCGCUGGAUCGGAGACACGGUCAUCGCCCUCGCGCCCAUCAAUGCCACCACCACGAGCCGGCUCUUGAACACAUUCCAGCACGUUCGAAAGCUCAAACCAGAACUGAGAGAAAAAGUCGUCCCGAUCCUGGAGGAGAUUGUGGAAAGGGUUUCCCCGGAGGUCAGUCCAACCAUUCAUGGGCAGGCGAGCGCCUACUUAAGAUCCUAACUGAGCCGCGUGCCGCAGUGGGGGCACUUGUCAGGGUUGACGGUGACCCCCAUGUAAUAUUUGGCGUGGCCCCUGGGAAGUUCAUUGCAGACGGGGCAUUUGAAUUGGCGGGAGGGC
RNAcentral lists this ribosomal RNA (397 nucleotides) under uncultured prokaryote. Its description in RNAcentral is "partial 16S ribosomal RNA". The record is from RNAcentral.